RNAcentral lists this ribosomal RNA (253 nucleotides) under uncultured bacterium. RNAcentral describes it as "partial 16S ribosomal RNA". It matches the Rfam family "Bacterial small subunit ribosomal RNA", at positions 524 to 776 of the family's 1533-position model. The record is from RNAcentral.
UACGGAGGGGGCUAGCGUUGUUCGGAAUUACUGGGCGUAAAGCGCACGUAGGCGGCUAUGUAAGUUAGAGGUGAAAGCCUGGGGCUCAACUCCAGAACUGCCUUUAAGACUGCAUCGCUUGAACACGGGAGAGGUGAGUGGAAUUCCCGGUGUAGCGGUGAAAUGCGCAGAUAUCGGGAAGAACACCCGUGGCGAAGGCGGCUCUCUGGGACGGUACUGACGCUGAGACGCGAAAGCGUGGGGAGCGAACAGG